GAAAUGCGAUAAGUAAUGUGAAUUGCAGAAUUCAGUGAAUCAUCGAAUCUUUGAACGCACAUUGCGCCCGCCGGUAUUCCGGCGGGCAUGCCUGUUCGAGCGUCAUUUCAACCCUCAAGCACCGCUUGGCGUUGGGGCGUUAGGUACCCUAGGGGACCUAAGCCCUCAAAUUCAGUGGCGGGCUCGCUAAGACUCUGAGCGCAGUAAUUUCGCGGUAAAACGCGGUUCGCUUCGGGUACGUCUAGGCGGGUGCCGGCCGUUAAACCCCCAAAUUUUACACAAGGUUGACCUCGGAUCAGGUAGGAAUACCCGCUGAACUUAA
Molecule: unclassified non-coding RNA, 322 nt
Filed under: uncultured fungus
Lineage: Eukaryota; Fungi
Description: sequence contains ITS1
Rfam family: 5.8S ribosomal RNA (bases 1-105)
Source: RNAcentral